This 253-nucleotide unclassified non-coding RNA is filed under the name uncultured Halomonadaceae bacterium. RNAcentral's name for it is "contains 16S-23S intergenic spacer region". It matches the Rfam family "Bacterial small subunit ribosomal RNA", at positions 524 to 776 of the family's 1533-position model. Lineage: Bacteria; Pseudomonadati; Pseudomonadota; Gammaproteobacteria; Oceanospirillales; Halomonadaceae. The record is from RNAcentral.
UACGGAGGGUGCGAGCGGUAAUCGGAAUUAAUGGGCGUAAAGCGCGCGUAGGCGGCUAAGUAAUCCGGUUGUGAAAGCCCCCGGCUCAACCCGGGAAUGGCAUCCGGGACUGUUUAGCUAGAGUGCAGAAGAGGAAGGUAGAAUUCCCGGUGUAGCGGUGAAAUGCGUAGAGAUCGGGAGGAAUACCGGUGGCGAAGGCGGCCUUCUGGUCUGACACUGACGCUGAGGUGCGAAAGCGUGGGUAGCAAACAGG